This 327-nucleotide ribosomal RNA is filed under the name uncultured eukaryote. Its description in RNAcentral is "partial 18S ribosomal RNA". It matches the Rfam family "Eukaryotic small subunit ribosomal RNA", at positions 1470 to 1796 of the family's 1831-position model. The record is from RNAcentral.
CCCUUAGAUGUUCUGGGCCGCACGCGCGCUACACUGACGAAUGCAACGAGCUUAUAACCUUGGCCGAAAGGUCUGGGUAAUCUCCAAAUUUCGUCGUGAUGGGGAUAGAUUAUUGCAAUUAUUAAUCUUCAACGAGGAAUGCCUAGUAAGCGCAAGUCAUCAGCUUGCGUUGAUUACGUCCCUGCCCUUUGUACACACCGCCCGUCGCUUCUACCGAUUGAAUGGUCCGGUGAAGCGUUCGGACCGUGGCCUUUGGACGGUUCGCCGUCUGUUGGCUGCGGGAAGUUCGUUAAACCUUAUCAUUUAGAGGAAGGAGAAGUCGUAACA